RNAcentral lists this long non-coding RNA (79 nucleotides) under Oncorhynchus kisutch (coho salmon). RNAcentral's name for it is "lncRNA (ENSOKIG00005042797.1)". Lineage: Eukaryota; Metazoa; Chordata; Actinopteri; Salmoniformes; Salmonidae. The record is from RNAcentral.
AAGACGGUUAAAAACAAUCUCAGUCAGAGUUUCACCCUGUCGGAGCAACAAUGACAUCACAUGUGAAGCUCAGAAAAGA